GGGCGAGUGGCGGAAUGGUAGACGCGAUGGAUUCAAAUCCCAUUGGCCGAAAGGUCGUGAGAGUUCAAGUCUCUCCUCGCCCACCA
This 86-nucleotide transfer RNA is filed under the name Candidatus Kaiserbacteria bacterium CG10_big_fil_rev_8_21_14_0_10_47_16. RNAcentral describes it as "tRNA-Leu". It matches the Rfam family "tRNA". Rfam says of the family: Transfer RNA (tRNA) molecules are approximately 80 nucleotides in length. Their secondary structure includes four short double-helical elements and three loops (D, anti-codon, and T loops). The record is from RNAcentral. Lineage: Bacteria; Candidatus Kaiseribacteriota.